This 698-nucleotide ribosomal RNA is filed under the name uncultured bacterium. Its description in RNAcentral is "bacterial SSU rRNA". It matches the Rfam family "Bacterial small subunit ribosomal RNA", at positions 620 to 1315 of the family's 1533-position model. The record is from RNAcentral.
GGUGCCGUUGAUAAUUUUGGGCUAGGAAUGCGGGAUGCCGUGGGAGGAAUGUGUGGUGUAGCGGUGAAAAUGCAUAGAUAUCCACACAGGAACAACGGAUUGCGAAGGCAUCUCACGAAUCCCGCAAUUGACGCUGAGGCACGAAAGCGUGGGGAUCAAACAGGAUUAGAUACCCUGGUAGUCCACGCUGUAAACGAUGAUGACUAACUGUCGGCGAUACACAGUCGGUGGCCAAGCGAAAGCGAUAAGUUAUCCACCUGGGGAGUACGACCGCAAGGUUGAAACUCAAAGGAAUUGACGGGGGCCCGCACAAGCGGAGGAACAUGUGGUUUAAUUCGAUGAUACGCGAGGAACCUUACCCGGGCUCGAACGGUGCAUGAAAGUUCAAGAGAUUGGACAGUCCUUCGGGACAUGUAUCGAGGUGCUGCAUGGUUGUCGUCAGCUCGUGCCGUGAGGUGUCGGCUUAAGUGCCAUAACGAGCGCAACCCUUGUCAUUAGUUACCAUCAGGUUAAGCUGGGGACUCUAGUGAGACUGCCACCGUAAGGUGUGAGGAAGGGGGGGAUGACGUCAAAUCAGCACGGCCCUUAUGUCCGGGGCGACACACGUGUUACAAUGGGAGGUACAGAGGGCAGUCAGUUAGUGAUAACGAGCCAAUCUCAAAAACCUCUCUCAGUUCGGAUUGGAGUCUGCAACUCGA